GGAUGCCCCACUCGCACUAUCCUUUUCCAUGUUCCAUGGACCGUGAAAUUGGGUAAUUAUCUAAUUUGGCAUUAAAAUUAGAAAGAUCAUAUCAUAAGCAACAAGUGUACUAAGUUUCAAGUUGAUUGGACUUCAGCUUCAUCAAAAACUACCUUGACCAAAAACUUUAACCUGGACGGACGGACGGACGGAUGGACGAACGGACGAACGGACGAACGGAGCCACAGACCAGAAAACAUAAUGCCCCUCUACUAUCGUAGGUGGGGCAUAAAAA
This 274-nucleotide long non-coding RNA is filed under the name Mytilus galloprovincialis (Mediterranean mussel). The record is from RNAcentral. Lineage: Eukaryota; Metazoa; Mollusca; Bivalvia; Mytilida; Mytilidae.